Molecule: long non-coding RNA, 394 nt
Organism: Camarhynchus parvulus
Lineage: Eukaryota; Metazoa; Chordata; Aves; Passeriformes; Thraupidae
Exons: 3
Source: RefSeq, a predicted model, not a curated record
UAAAUCUGUGCCAGAGGGCCCCAUCCCGGAUGAGGGGUUUCCCCCGAGCAGGAAGUAAAUCUGGAUACCAGCAGUCAAGGCAAUCCACUCGGAGUAUGCCAAGCCGCCGUCACCAACCGGCCGACGCGCCGAGUUUCCUGCUCUCGUGAGCCCCGUGGAUGUAUUACAGGACCUGGUGGUGAAGCCCUGAACUUUUCUAUUUAAAGGUGCCAUCCAGGUGGCCUUUGGCAACUGCCAAGGAGUCGGGGUGAGUCGGGGAAGUAGGGAGGAGGAGCGAGGGUCCACUCAGGUUUCAGCCAUGAGAAAUCACCUCAUCUCCUCUUUACCCAGGCACCCCCUGUGACGAAGUCCUUGGUCUCGAAGCGUGUGAGCCCAGCAGCUGAGCAUUCCUAGG